GGGCUGCUUGACUCACACCUCCAUCAACAGACGCUUGGAAAUAAUGCACCAUGGCAGGUUUUCAAAUAUUUUUUCUUUCCUCCCUCCAGAGAGAAAAACAAAAGGGUAAAGAUGGCCUGAGGGAUUGGAUCAGAACAUUGUUUUACUGGAAUUUGCAGCUGUUUCUGGAUUGCAGAAGUCACUGGAGGGAAACAAUGUGCUCAGGGACUGAAGGAAAUGGUUUGGCUCCAAUCUGUCCCAAGUCAUCUGGGGAGGAAUGUUUUCAUUGUUGCAAAGGUUGCUACUCCACACAGAUUUUGCUUCUCUCUACAGAGAGUGUGUGUCUGAGGAGAGGCAUGGGAAAUUCACAUAGCAUGGGAGCAAAACAAGGCCAAGGGUGCUCCUCCUGCCAUGCAUCCUGUCAUGGAGGGAGCCUGUAGAAUACCUGCAGUUAGGCAGAAAUCAGGAUGAUCGAGUUAACAUGCAUCAUUAGGGCAGGCUCUAACUCAGUGUGACUGAUGUCCUUAUAAAAAGAGGAAAUUUAGACAGAGACAUACAGGCAUUGAGAGAGUACAAUGGGAAGACACAAAGAAAAGAUGGCCGUUUACAAGGCAAGGAAUACCUGAGGCUACAGAAGGAAGGAGAGAGACGAGGAACAGAGUCUGCCUCAUAGUCCUCAGAAGAGACAACCCUACCAACACUUUGAUUUCAGACUUCCAGCCUCCAGAACUGUGAAGCACAAUACAUUUCUGUUGUUUAAGCCACCAGUUUGUGGUGCUGUGUUUUGGCAGUCUCAGGAAACAA
Cebus imitator (Panamanian white-faced capuchin) is the source of this 783-nucleotide long non-coding RNA. RefSeq lists it as uncharacterized. The transcript has 3 exons. Lineage: Eukaryota; Metazoa; Chordata; Mammalia; Primates; Cebidae. The record is from RefSeq and is a predicted model, not a curated record.